GCAGUCGACGACUCUGGUAUUGAUUGGUGCUUGCAUCAUGAUUUACAUUUGAGUGAGUGGCGAACUGGUGAGUAACACGUGGGAAACCUGCCCAGAAGCGGGGGAUAACACCUGGAAACAGAUGCUAAUACCGCAUAACAACUUGGACCGCAUGGUCCGAGUUUGAAAGAUGGCUUCGGCUAUCACUUUUGGAUGGUCCCGCGGCGUAUUAGCUAGAUGGUGAGGUAACGGCUCACCAUGGCAAUGAUACGUAGCCGACCUGAGAGGGUAAUCGGCCACAUUGGGACUGAGACACGGCCCAAACUCCUACGGGAGGCAGCAGUAGGGAAUCUUCCACAAUGGACGAAAGUCUGAUGGAGCAACGCCGCGUGAGUGAAGAAGGGUUUCGGCUCGUAAAACUCUGUUGUUAAAGAAGAACAUAUCUGAGAGUAACUGUUCAGGUAUUGACGGUAUUUAACCAGAAAGCCACGGCUAACUACGUGCCAGCAGCCGCGGUAAUACGUAGGUGGCAAGCGUUGUCCGGAUUUAUUGGGCGUAAAGCGAGCGCAGGCGGUUUUUUAAGUCUGAUGUGAAAGCCUUCGGCUCAACCGAAGAAGUGCAUCGGAAACUGGGAAACUUGAGUGCAGAAGAGGACAGUGGAACUCCAUGUGUAGCGGUGAAAUGCGUAGAUAUAUGGAAGAACACCAGUGGCGAAGCGGCUGUCUGGUCUGUAACUGACGCUGAGGCUCGAAAGUAUGGGUAGCAAACAGGAUUAGAUACCCUGGUAGUCCAUACCGUAAACGAUGAAUGCUAGUGUUGGAGGGUUUCCGCCCUUCAGUGCUGCAGCUAACGCAUUAGCAUUCGCUGGGGAGUA
Molecule: ribosomal RNA, 853 nt
Filed under: Lactiplantibacillus plantarum
Lineage: Bacteria; Bacillati; Bacillota; Bacilli; Lactobacillales; Lactobacillaceae
Description: bacterial SSU rRNA
Rfam family: Bacterial small subunit ribosomal RNA
Source: RNAcentral